This 258-nucleotide long non-coding RNA is filed under the name Elaeis guineensis (African oil palm). RNAcentral describes it as "long non-coding RNA (EGUI_LNC073807)". Lineage: Eukaryota; Viridiplantae; Streptophyta; Magnoliopsida; Arecales; Arecaceae. The record is from RNAcentral.
AUCAAAUUAAUCUAACAUACAUAUAAUUUAAUCAUCAAAUCAACCUACUCUAAGAUUUAUGAAAUGUUAUGUUGCAUAUAAAAUCUGAAAUAAUCUAAAGAUAAAAUUAGCAUGCAUACAUAUGAGUAGUAGAUCACAUUUACUUCUAAUCUGAGUUCAGAACUUCAUACCUGAUCACCGAUCGAUGAUCUCCACUACUGAGAGAUAUAGUGGAAAGGAUCUUUACUGGUUACUCACAGUCGCACAUGCAUCCGGCCU